RNAcentral lists this ribosomal RNA (301 nucleotides) under uncultured bacterium. RNAcentral describes it as "partial 16S ribosomal RNA". It matches the Rfam family "Bacterial small subunit ribosomal RNA", at positions 509 to 808 of the family's 1533-position model. The record is from RNAcentral.
CAGUCGCCGCGGUAAUGCGUAGGUCCCGAGCGUUGUCCGGAUUUAUUGGGCGUAAAGCGAGCGCAGGCGGUUAGAUAAGUCUGAAGUUAAAGGCUGUGGCUUAACCAUAGUACGCUUUGGAAACUGUUUAACUUGAGUGCAAGAGGGGAGAGUGGAAUUCCAUGUGUAGCGGUGAAAUGCGUAGAUAUAUGGAGGAACACCGGUGGCGAAAGCGGCUCUCUGGCUUGUAACUGACGCUGAGGCUCGAAAGCGUGGGGAGCAAACAGGAUUAGAUACCCCCGUAGUCCCUGUCUCUUAUACA